This 72-nucleotide transfer RNA is filed under the name Ovis aries (sheep). It matches the Rfam family "tRNA". Rfam says of the family: Transfer RNA (tRNA) molecules are approximately 80 nucleotides in length. Their secondary structure includes four short double-helical elements and three loops (D, anti-codon, and T loops). The record is from Rfam by way of RNAcentral. Lineage: Eukaryota; Metazoa; Chordata; Mammalia; Artiodactyla; Bovidae.
UCCCUUGUGGCUCAGAUGGUAAAGAAUCCACCUGCGAUGUGGAAGACCAGGGUUCAAUCCCUGAUUUGGGAA